This 234-nucleotide long non-coding RNA is filed under the name Elaeis guineensis (African oil palm). Its description in RNAcentral is "long non-coding RNA (EGUI_LNC035384)". Lineage: Eukaryota; Viridiplantae; Streptophyta; Magnoliopsida; Arecales; Arecaceae. The record is from RNAcentral.
AAAACGUACUUUUCAAAUUUAUGACUCACCAGUUCGGCACAGACUUCAUCGAGGACAACCAAUAAUAUUUUUGUAAGACUCGCCUGUUUAGAAUCGUAUUUAAACUUCUUUUAAUAGAAAUUAUCAGCAUCCUUAUGCAACAAUUAAUUACCAUGAAUGACAAAAAUUGUGGUGCCAAAAGAAGAAAAAAAAAGAGUCGAAAUAAGGAUAAGAAUAUAAUAGAAAUAGAAGGCA